UACGUAGGGUGCGAGCGUUAAUCGGAAUUACUGGGCGUAAAGCGUGCGCAGGCGGUUUUGUAAGCCAGAUGUGAAAUCCCCGGGCUCAACCUGGGAAUGGCAUUUGGGACUGCAAGGCUGGAGUGUGGCAGAGGAGACUGGAAUUCCUGGUGUAGCAGUGAAAUGCGUAGAUAUCAGGAGGAACACGAUGGCGAAGGCAGGUCUCUGGGCCAUGAUACUGACG
This 223-nucleotide ribosomal RNA is filed under the name uncultured bacterium. RNAcentral describes it as "partial 16S ribosomal RNA". It matches the Rfam family "Bacterial small subunit ribosomal RNA", at positions 524 to 745 of the family's 1533-position model. The record is from RNAcentral.